CGAACGCUGGCGGCGUGCUUAACACAUGCAAGUCGAACGGUGAAGCGCCUUCCUUUUUGGUGGGUGUGGAUGAGUGGCGAACGGGUGAGUAACACGUGAGUAACCUGCCCCCUUCUUCUGGAUAACCGCAUGAAAGUGUGGCUAAUACGGGAUAUUCUGGGUCUGUCGCAUGAUGGGUCUGGGAAAGAUAUUGUUUCGGUGGGGGAUGGGCUCGCGGCCUAUCAGCUUGUUGGUGGGGUGAUGGCCUACCAAGGCGGUGACGGGUAGCCGGCCUGAGAGGGUGGACGGUCACACUGGGACGGAGACACGGCCCAGACUCCUACGGGAGGCAGCAGUGGGGAAUAUUGCACAAUGGGCGCAAGCCUGAUGCAGCGACGCCGCGUGAGGGAUGGAGGCCUUCGGGUUGUGAACCUCUUUCGCCAGUGAAGCAGGCCUGCCUCGUUUGUGGGUGGGUUGACGGUAGCUGGAUAAGAAGCGCCGGCUAACUACGUG
Molecule: ribosomal RNA, 492 nt
Filed under: uncultured bacterium
Lineage: Bacteria
Description: partial 16S ribosomal RNA
Rfam family: Bacterial small subunit ribosomal RNA
Source: RNAcentral